This 264-nucleotide unclassified non-coding RNA is filed under the name Chytridiomycota sp. Its description in RNAcentral is "partial contains small subunit ribosomal RNA, internal transcribed spacer 1, and 5.8S ribosomal RNA". The stretch from base 1 to 47 matches the Rfam family "Eukaryotic small subunit ribosomal RNA", at positions 1785 to 1831 of the family's 1831-position model. Lineage: Eukaryota; Fungi; Chytridiomycota. The record is from RNAcentral.
AAAGUCGUAACAAGGUAACCGUAGGUGAACCUGCGGUUGGAUCAUUACUGAUUUUUGUUUCUAUGGAGUUGAUACCUUUACGGAGUCCUCCAUAGAGACUAACUACCCCUUGUGCACCAAAUGUUUUUUGGGUCACAGUAGGUAGGGUAGAGUAAGCGUAAGCAUACGCUAUCCUACUGGUGGCCCAGUUGUAAAGACCAUAUCAAUUGUCUGAAAUCUCUAUAUAAAUAGAAACAACUUUUGACAACGGAUCUCUUGGCUCUC